This is a long non-coding RNA of Ictalurus punctatus (channel catfish), 1825 nucleotides long. RefSeq lists it as uncharacterized. The record is from RefSeq and is a predicted model, not a curated record. Lineage: Eukaryota; Metazoa; Chordata; Actinopteri; Siluriformes; Ictaluridae. The transcript has 3 exons.
AUGAAACACUGUUUUCAAAAUAUUUAAAAAAAGAUUUAUACACAAUGCAGAGUAAAGCUAUGUUGACUAUGACACUGCUUUGUAUAUUUUAAUCUGCAUUGACUCCUCUUGUAUCUUGUACCUUAAGGUAGAAAUACAAAGAUAUUAGGGUAUUUAUAAUCAUUAAGACCAACAGACAAAAAUGUAAAUAUUAAGUAAAUUAGUGUCUCAAUGCACUAAUUCUGCAAUUACGAUUUUCUCUCUGUCUGCUCUGCUUGAGAAAAUAGUACAGCACAUCCUGAAGCUAAAAGCAAAUGUCAGCGCAGCAGAUAGGCAGGGCAAUCAGUGAGACGGCACUGAGUAAAGCGUCAGGACAGACAGCUGUGACAUGAGCAGAUUGUUUAGUGGACUGAGACGAGAGCAAAUAUGGCAGCCAGGAUGUUCUCUCCAAAUGUACAUUGUAUAUUGAACUGAAGCUAGAAAAUAUUUAAGGAGGUACAUGCAGAAUGAACAGUUUGGCAUUGAAAAUAAGAAUCUCUAGCUUAACGGAUCUCUGAUCUUGUAUUAAAAAUGCACUGGAAUCCAUCAGGGGCACCGCUAGGGUUUCUGGGCCCCCAAGGCCCCACCCCCCAAUUAUCUUUUCUUAUUGCCAUGUGUACAAACAAUCAUUAUCAAUAAGCAUAACAAUUAUUGCAUAUUCAAUAAGAGACUAUAAAGAACUAAAUUUGAACAGUUCAUUAAAUGAACUGAAAUUAUGCAUUUAUAACCAUAUACAAGAAACUAUAUAUACAGUACAAGUAAUUAACACCUUUGUACUCUCUCUCUCGCUCUCAUACACAGACACUAUAGAAACUCUGUCUGGAUUUCUUAUAAACUGUUGACUUGUAAUUUCUUAUUACCCAAGUACCAAGAACAAUGAACAUUCUUCUUCUUCUUCUUCUUCUUCUUCUUCUUAUUAUUAUUAUUAUUAUUAUUAACUGAGGGAAUAAUAAGUUUCACACACCAGUAGCUCCAGAAAGAAAUAUGGAAGUUAGUUAAACAGUGACAGGAUUAUUGAAUCAGUGAGUUGAACUUGAGAACCAAAUCGGUUCUAUUCAUGAAUGAAUCACUCAGACUGGUUUUACCAACGGGAUUCUCCAAUUCAUUGAAAUGAACCGACUCAAACAAACAAUUCACUCACGAAUCGGACAUCGUUACAACACGUCUCUCAUAAACUCACUCGGGACAAUUAAAGUAGGUUUAUAUGAAUACAUUAAAUUUCGAUCGAAGCCUCACAGAAAGCUGUUGCAAGGCUUCGGAAAGCUUGAAUAUAUACAACACCGGACUAGUUUUAUUGUCGCUUGAAGCUCAAUGCUCCAUUACUGUUGCUCGACUGCGUAGAAAAACAUUAAUUCUUGGAAAUAUUGUGUUCCAACUUCCAAGGAUAAACAUCAGGGGUUUGGUGUGGCAUGGCAGAGCUACUGCUCUCAAUGUGAUGCUGAUGGAAUACAGGCUUAAUUGCAAACCAAAUUACAGCCAGGUAAUUACAGCCAUGUACAAAAUAAGUUAAUUGGAAAAGCAGUAUAGUUUUCACUGCUUGCAAUCCCUGUAUGUAAUAUUAAUUUGCUAUACUUUUUGUGUUUAUAUGUGCCUACUGACUUCAGCUUUGCAAAAUGACUUCCCUGCUGCUUACAACACUGUGGAGGGCGUGCGCUUACGGGGGAGUAGAAUACAGCCAUGAUCAAGUCAGAAUGGACUGCACUGAGAGAAUAACAGGAUACCUGCUGUGGAAAGGCAGUUCUCUUCAUCACUGUUGUCCUGGCAGUUGUCUUGGCCAUUACAGAGGAAACUUCGAUCCACACAUCGG